Molecule: ribosomal RNA, 468 nt
Filed under: uncultured bacterium
Lineage: Bacteria
Description: partial 16S ribosomal RNA
Rfam family: Bacterial small subunit ribosomal RNA
Source: RNAcentral
GACGAACGCUGGCGGCGUGCUUAACACAUGCAAGUCGAACGGAAAGGCCCUGCUUUUGUGGGGUGCUCGAGUGGCGAACGGGUGGGUAACACGUGAGUAACCUGCCCUUGACUUUGGGAUAACUUCAGGAAACUGGGGCUAAUACCGGAUAGGAGCUCCUGCUGCAUGGUGGGGGUUGGAAAGUUUCGGCGGUUGGGGAUGGACUCGCGGCUUAUCAGCUUGUUGGUGGGGUAGUGGCUUACCAAGGCUCUGACGGGUAGCCGGCCUGAGAGGGUGACCGGCCACAUUGGGACUGAGAUACGGCCCAGACUCCUACGGGAGGCAGCAGUGGGGAAUAUUGCACAAUGGGCGGAAGCCUGAUGCAGCAACGCCGCGUGCGGGAUGACGGCCUUCGGGUUGUAAACCGCUUUCGCCUGUGACGAAGCGUGAGUGACGGUAAUGGGUAAAGAAGCACCGGCUAACUACGUG